GACGAACGCUGGCGGCGUGCCUAACACGUGCAAGUCGGGCGAAUGAAGUUCCUUCGGGAAUGGAUUUAGCGGCGGACGGGUGAGUAACACGUGGGCAACCUGCCUCAUAGAGGGGAAUAGCCUUCCGAAAGGGAGAUUAAUACCGCAUAAGAUUGUAGUAUCGCAUGAUACAGCAAUUAAAGGAGCAAUCCGCUAUGAGAUGGGCCCGCGGCGCAUUAGCUAGUUGGUGAGGUAACGGCUCACCAAGGCGACGAUGCGUAGCCGACCUGAGAGGGUGAUCGGCCACAUUGGGACUGAGACACGGCCCAGACUCCUACGGGAGGCAGCAGUGGGGAAUAUUGCACAAUGGGGGAAACCCUGAUGCAGCAACGCCGCGUGAGUGAUGACGGCCUUCUGGUUGUAAAGCUCUGUCUUCAGGGACGAUAAUGACGGUACCUGAGGAGGAAGCCACGGCUAACUACGUG
Molecule: ribosomal RNA, 464 nt
Filed under: uncultured bacterium
Lineage: Bacteria
Description: partial 16S ribosomal RNA
Rfam family: Bacterial small subunit ribosomal RNA
Source: RNAcentral